Molecule: ribosomal RNA, 366 nt
Filed under: uncultured bacterium
Lineage: Bacteria
Description: partial 16S ribosomal RNA
Rfam family: Bacterial small subunit ribosomal RNA
Source: RNAcentral
CCUACGGGUGGCAGCAGUGAGGAAUAUUGGUCAAUGGGCGUAAGCCUGAACCAGCCAAGUCGCGUGAGGGAUGAAGGUUCUAUGGAUCGUAAACCUCUUUUAUAAGGGAAUAAAGUGCGGGACGUGUCCCGUUUUGUAUGGACCUUAUGAAUAAGGAACGGAUAACUCCGUGCCAGCAGCCGCGGUAAUACGGAGGGGCCGAGCGUUAGCCGGAUUUAGAGGGUUGAAAGGGUGCGUAGGCGGGCUUUUAAGUCAGCGGUGAAAGUCUGUGGCUCAACCAUAGAAGUGCCGUUGAAACUGGCAGGCUUGAGUAUGUUUGCGGCCGGCGGAAUGCGUGGUGUAGCGGUGAAAUGCUUAGAUAUCACG